CGGCGAGUAGCGCAGCUUGGUAGCGCAACUGGUGGGUCGUAGGUUCAAAUCCUAUCUCGCCGACCA
RNAcentral lists this transfer RNA (66 nucleotides) under Pasteurella multocida. RNAcentral describes it as "tRNA-OTHER". It matches the Rfam family "tRNA". Rfam says of the family: Transfer RNA (tRNA) molecules are approximately 80 nucleotides in length. Their secondary structure includes four short double-helical elements and three loops (D, anti-codon, and T loops). The record is from RNAcentral. Lineage: Bacteria; Pseudomonadati; Pseudomonadota; Gammaproteobacteria; Pasteurellales; Pasteurellaceae.